UGGGGAAUUUUGGACAAUGGGCGCAAGCCUGAUCCAGCCAUGCCGCGUGCGGGAAGAAGGCCUUCGGGUUGUAAACCGCUUUUGUCAGGGAAGAAAUCUUCUGAGUUAAUACCUCGGGAGGAUGACGGUACCUGAAGAAUAAGCACCGGCUAACUACGUGCCAGCAGCCGCGGUAAUACGUAGGGUGCAAGCGUUAAUCGGAAUUACUGGGCGUAAAGCGUGCGCAGGCGGUUUUGUAAGACAGAGGUGAAAUCCCCGGGCUCAACCUGGGAACUGCCUUUGUGACUGCAAGGCUUGAGUGCGGCAGAGGGGGGAAUGGAAUUCCGCGUGUAGCAUGAAAUGCGUAGAUAUGCGGAGGAACACCGAUGGCGAAGGCAAUCCCCUGGGCCUGCACUGACGCUCAUGCACGAAAAGCGUGGGGAGCAAACAGGAUUAGAUACCCUGGUAGUCCACGCCCUAAAACGAUGUCAACUGGUUGUUGGGAAGGUUCCUCCUCAGUAACGUAGCUAACGCGUGAAAGUUGACCGCCUGGGGAGUACGGCCGCAAGGUUG
This 552-nucleotide ribosomal RNA is filed under the name uncultured bacterium. RNAcentral describes it as "partial 16S ribosomal RNA". It matches the Rfam family "Bacterial small subunit ribosomal RNA", at positions 355 to 896 of the family's 1533-position model. The record is from RNAcentral.